RNAcentral lists this transfer RNA (72 nucleotides) under Fukomys damarensis (Damara mole-rat). It matches the Rfam family "tRNA". From Rfam's summary of the family: Transfer RNA (tRNA) molecules are approximately 80 nucleotides in length. Their secondary structure includes four short double-helical elements and three loops (D, anti-codon, and T loops). The record is from Rfam by way of RNAcentral. Lineage: Eukaryota; Metazoa; Chordata; Mammalia; Rodentia; Bathyergidae.
GAGGAUAUAGUUCAGUAGUAGAGCACUUGCCUAGCGUGCAUGAGGCCUUGAAUUCAAUUCUCAGUACCAUUA